This 606-nucleotide ribosomal RNA is filed under the name Ischnura asiatica. RNAcentral describes it as "partial large subunit ribosomal RNA". It matches the Rfam family "Eukaryotic large subunit ribosomal RNA", at positions 1389 to 1940 of the family's 3401-position model. The record is from RNAcentral. Lineage: Eukaryota; Metazoa; Arthropoda; Insecta; Odonata; Coenagrionidae.
UCGCGGCGGCGUGCGCAGAAGGGUCUGGGCUCGAGCCUGCCUGGAGCCGCCGCCGGUGCAGAUCUUGGUGGUAGUAGCAAAUACUCCAGCGAGGCCCUGGAGGACUGAUGUGGAGAAGGGUUUCGUGUGAACAGCCGUUGCACACGAGUCAGUCGAUCCUAAGCCCUAGGAGAAAUCCGACGCCUACGGCGACGGGAAAAAUUUUUCAAAUCGACCCGUUGAUCGGGCGAAAGGGAAUCCGGUUCCUAUUCCGGAACCCGGCAGCGGAACCGCUGUUUGUCGGGCCCUCACAAGGGGUUCGUCAGGGUAACCUAAAAGGGCCCGGAGACGCCGUCGGGAGCCCCGGAAAGAGUUUUCUUUUCUGCAUGAGCGUUCGAGUUCCCUGGAAUCCUCUCGCAGGGAGAUAGGGUUUGGAACGCGAAGAGCACCGCAGUUGCGGCGGUGCCCGGGAAUUCCCGACGGACCUUGAAAAUCCGGGAGAGGGCCACGUGGAGGUGUCGCGCCGGCUCGUACCCAUAUCCGCAGCAGGUCUCCAAGGUGAAGAGCCUCUAGUCGAUAGAAUAAUGUAGGUAAGGGAAGUCGGCAAAUCGGAUCCGUAACUUCGGG